UUGCAAUGAUGACUAUCUUAGGACACCUUUAGAUUAUACAUGAAACAAUGUAAAGCGAUAGAUUCUGAGCAAC
Molecule: small nucleolar RNA, 73 nt
Organism: Pristis pectinata (smalltooth sawfish)
Lineage: Eukaryota; Metazoa; Chordata; Chondrichthyes; Rhinopristiformes; Pristidae
Product: small nucleolar RNA SNORD58
Exons: 1
Source: RefSeq, a predicted model, not a curated record